GACGAACGCUGGCGGCGUGCCUAAUACAUGCAAGUAGAACGCUGAAGGAGGAGCUUGCUCUUCUGGAUGAGUUGCGAACGGGUGAGUAACGCGUAGGUAACCUGCCUGGUAGCGGGGGAUAACUAUUGGAAACGAUAGCUAAUACCGCAUAACAGUAGAUGUUGCAUGACAUUUACUUAAAAGGUGCAAUUGCAUCACUACCAGAUGGACCUGCGUUGUAUUAGCUAGUUGGUGGGGUAACGGCUCACCAAGGCGACGAUACAUAGCCGACCUGAGAGGGUGAUCGGCCACACUGGGACUGAGACACGGUCCAGACUCCUACGGGAGGCAGCAGUAGGGAAUCUUCGGCAAUGGACGGAAGUCUGACCGAGCAACGCCGCGUGAGUGAAGAAGGUUUUCGGAUCGUAAAGCUCUGUUGUAAGAGAAGAACGAGUGUGAGAGCGGAAAGUUCACACUGUGACGGUAUCUUACCAGAAAGGGACGGCUAACUACGUG
Molecule: ribosomal RNA, 495 nt
Filed under: uncultured bacterium
Lineage: Bacteria
Description: partial 16S ribosomal RNA
Rfam family: Bacterial small subunit ribosomal RNA
Source: RNAcentral